GCGGUAGGGGAGAUUGGAAUUCCUGGUGUAGCGGUGGAAUGCGCAGAUAUCAGGAGGAACACCAAUGGCGAAGGCAGAUCUCUGGGCCGUAACUGACGCUGAGGAGCGAAAGCAUGGGGAGCGAACAGGAUUAGAUACCCUGGUAGUCCAUGCCGUAAACGUUGGGAACUAGAUGUAGGGACCAUUCCACGGUCUCUGUGUCGCAGCUAACGCAUUAAGUUCCCCGCCUGGGGAGUACGGCCGCAAGGCUAAAACUCAAAGGAAUUGACGGGGGCCCGCACAAGCGGCGGAGCAUGCGGAUUAAUUCGAUGCAACGCGAAGAACCUUACCAAGGCUUGACAUAUACCGGAAACGGCUGGAAACAGUCGCCCCGCAAGGUCGGUAUACAGGUGGUGCAUGGUUGUCGUCAGCUCGUGUCGUGAGAUGUUGGGUUAAGUCCCGCAACGAGCGCAACCCUCGUUCUAUGUUGCCAGCACGUAAUGGUGGGAACUCAUAGGAGACUGCCGGGGUCAACUCGGAGGAAGGUGGGGACGACGUCAAAUCAUCAUGCCCAUUAUGUAUUGGGCUUCACGCAUGA
This 577-nucleotide ribosomal RNA is filed under the name uncultured bacterium. RNAcentral describes it as "bacterial SSU rRNA". It matches the Rfam family "Bacterial small subunit ribosomal RNA", at positions 648 to 1225 of the family's 1533-position model. The record is from RNAcentral.